This 680-nucleotide ribosomal RNA is filed under the name uncultured bacterium. Its description in RNAcentral is "bacterial SSU rRNA". It matches the Rfam family "Bacterial small subunit ribosomal RNA", at positions 335 to 1028 of the family's 1533-position model. The record is from RNAcentral.
ACUCCUACGGGAGGCAGCAGUGGGGAAUCUUCCGCAAUGGGCGAAAGCCUGACGGAGCAACGCCGCGUGAGUGACGAAGGCCCUUGGGUCGUAAAACUCUGUCUUCAGGGAAGAAAAAAAUGACGGUACCUGAGGAGGAAGCCCCGGCUAACUACGUGCCAGCAGCCGCGGUAAAACGUAGGGGGCGAGCGUUGUCCGGAAUUACUGGGCGUAAAGGGCGUGUAGGCGGUUCGCGAAGUCAGGAGUGAAAACUCGGGGCUCAACCUCGAGAUUGCUUUUGAAACCAGCGGGCUUGAGUGCAGGAGAGGAAAGUGGAAUUCCCAGUGUAGCGGUGAAAUGCGUAGAUAUUGGGAGGAACACCAGUGGCGAAAGCGGCUUUCUGGCCUGUAACUGACGCUGAGGCGCGAAAGCGUGGGGAGCAAACAGGAUUAGAUACCCUGGUAGUCCACGCCGUAAACGAUGGGUGCUAAGUGUUGGGGGUAUCGACCCCCUCAGUGCUGUAGUUAACGCAAUAAGCACCCCGCCUGGGGAGUACGGUCGCAAGACUGAAACUCAAAGGAAUUGACGGGGGCCCGCACAAGCGGUGGAGCAUGUGGUUUAAUUCGACGCAACGCGAAGGACCUUACCAGGGAUUGACAUCCCCUGACCGGACAUGAAAGUGUCCUUUCCCUUCGGGGACA